RNAcentral lists this ribosomal RNA (825 nucleotides) under Acinetobacter baumannii. RNAcentral's name for it is "partial 23S ribosomal RNA". It matches the Rfam family "Bacterial large subunit ribosomal RNA", at positions 1 to 877 of the family's 2925-position model. The record is from RNAcentral. Lineage: Bacteria; Pseudomonadati; Pseudomonadota; Gammaproteobacteria; Moraxellales; Moraxellaceae.
AGUCAAGUAAUUAAGUGCAUGUGGUGGAUGCCUUGGCAGUCAGAGGCGAUGAAAGACGUGAUAGCCUGCGAAAAGCUCCGGGGAGGCGGCAAAUAUCCUUUGAUCCGGAGAUGUCUGAAUGGGGGAACCCACCUACUUUAAGGUAGGUAUUGCAACAUGAAUACAUAGUGUUGCAAGGCGAACGAGGGGAAGUGAAACAUCUCAGUACCCUUAGGAAAAGAAAUCAAUUGAGAUUCCCUCAGUAGCGGCGAGCGAACGGGGAUCAGCCCAUUAAGUUAUGUGUGUUUUAGUGGAACGCUCUGGGAAGUGCGAACGUAGAGGGUGAUAUUCCCGUACACGAAAGGGCACACAUAAUGAUGACGAGUAGGGCGAGGCACGUGAAACCUUGUCUGAAUAUGGGGGGACCAUCCUCCAAGGCUAAAUACUCCUGACUGACCGAUAGUGAACCAGUACCGUGAGGGAAAGGCGAAAAGAACCCCUGUGAGGGGAGUGAAAUAGAUCCUGAAACCGCAUGCAUACAAGCAGUGGGAGCACCUUCGUGGUGUGACUGCGUACCUUUUGUAUAAUGGGUCAGCGACUUAUAUUCAGUAGCGAGGUUAACCGUAUAGGGGAGCCGUAGAGAAAUCGAGUCUUAAUAGGGCGUUUAGUUGCUGGGUAUAGACCCGAAACCAGGCGAUCUAUCCAUGAGCAGGUUGAAGGUUGGGUAACACUAACUGGAGGACCGAACCCACUGUCGUUGAAAAGCCAGGGGAUGACUUGUGGAUAGGGGUGAAAGGCUAAUCAAGCCUGGUGAUAGCUGGUUCUCCCCGAAAGCUAUUUAGGUAG